Molecule: ribosomal RNA, 888 nt
Filed under: uncultured marine group I thaumarchaeote
Lineage: Archaea; Thermoproteati; Nitrososphaerota
Description: SSU rRNA
Rfam family: Archaeal small subunit ribosomal RNA
Source: RNAcentral
UCCGGUUCAUCCCGCGGGACUGACUGCUAUCGGAUGAUACUAAGCCAUGCGAGUCUUUGUAGCAAUACAAGGCAGACGGCUCAGUAACGCGUAGUCAACCUACCCUAUGGACGGGAAUAACCUCGGGAAACUGAGUAUAAUGCCCGAUAGAACAUUAUGCCUGGAAGGGUUUAUGUUCCAAAUGAUUUAUCGCCGUAGGAUGGGACUGCGGCCUAUCAGCUUGUUGGUGAGGUAAUGGCCCACCAAGGCGAUUACAGGUACGGGCUCUGAGAGGAGAAGCCCGGAGAUGGGUACUGAGACACGGACCCAGGCCCUAUGGGGCGCAGCAGGCGAGAAAACUUUGCAAUGUGCGAAAGCACGACAAGGUUAAUCCGAGUGAUUUCUGCUAAAGAAAUCUUUUGCCAGUCAUAAAACCACUGGUGAAUAAGGGGUGGGCAAGUUCUGGUGUCAGCCGCCGCGGUAAAACCAGCACCUCAAGUGGUCAGGAUGAUUAUUGGGCCUAAAGCAUCCGUAGCCGGCUUUGUAAGUUUUCGGUUAAAUCCAUGUGCUCAACGCAUGGGCUGCCGAAAAUACUGCAUAGCUAGGGAGUGGGAGAGGUAGACGGUACUCAGUAGGUAGGGGUAAAAUCCUUUGAUCUAUUGAUGACCACCUGUGGCGAAGGCGGUCUACCAGAACACGUUCGACGGUGAGGGAUGAAAGCUGGGGGAGCAAACCGGAUUAGAUACCCGGGUAGUCCCAGCUGUAAACGAUGCAGACUAGAUGAUGCAUUGGCAUAAUAGCCAUUGCAGUGUCUCAGGGAAGCCGUUAAGUCUGCCGCCUGGGAAGUACGUACGCAAGUAUGAAACUUAAAGGAUUGGCGGGGAGCACACAAGGGGUGAAGCCUGCGGU